RNAcentral lists this ribosomal RNA (253 nucleotides) under uncultured bacterium. Its description in RNAcentral is "partial 16S ribosomal RNA". It matches the Rfam family "Bacterial small subunit ribosomal RNA", at positions 524 to 776 of the family's 1533-position model. The record is from RNAcentral.
UACGUAGGUGGCAAGCGUUGUCCGGAAUUAUUGGGCGUAAAGCGCGCGCAGGCGGCCUCUUAAGUCUGAUGUGAAAUCUUGCGGCUCAACCGCAAGCGGCCAUUGGAAACUGGGGGGCUUGAGUACAGAAGAGGAGAGUGGAAUUCCAGGUGUAGCGGUGAAAUGCGUAGAUAUCUGGAGGAACACCGGUGGCGAAGGCGGCAUCCUGGACCGAUAUUGACGCUGAGGAGCGAAAGCCAGGGGAGCAAACGGG